CAGUCGCCACGGUAAUACGUAGGUGGCAAGCGUUGUCCGGAAUUAUUGGGCGUAAAGGGCUCGCAGGCGGUUUCUUAAGUCUGAUGUGAAAGCCCCCGGCUCAACCGGGGAGGGUCAUUGGAAACUGGGAAACUUGAGUGCAGAAGAGGAGAGUGGAAUUCCACGUGUGGCGGUGAAAUGCGUAGAGAUGUGGAGGAACACCAGUGGCGAAGGCGACUCUCUGGUCUGUAACUGACGCUGAGGAGCGAAAGCGUGGGGAGCGAACAGGAUUAGAUACCCCCGUAGUCCCUGUCUCUUAUAC
RNAcentral lists this ribosomal RNA (301 nucleotides) under uncultured bacterium. RNAcentral's name for it is "partial 16S ribosomal RNA". It matches the Rfam family "Bacterial small subunit ribosomal RNA", at positions 509 to 807 of the family's 1533-position model. The record is from RNAcentral.